CGCGAAGACCAACACCUGGACGAACGUCAAGCGAUCCAUGUUGUUCCGUUGGGCGGGUGCACGUUCAGUCCGAUCUCGACAUCGAGGUAAAAGUUGGCUCGUAACCAGCCGACCGACAUUAAUCGACUACCAGGUCUUCCGCCGUUGUCCGACACGGUAUGACAAAGGAACUUCCAGGCAAUCUGAUUAUCUCUGAACCCGCAAGAUUCACUUUAGUAGCAAAUGAUCGGUUCGCGGCUGAAAAGAAUACUUCACGAAGACAUAAAUCCAACUAAUAUCUUCGCCGGGACGUUCGAUCGUUUGCUCAUCAUUGAUAAUAGUUAUUCCGUCCUCGGCGCAACCGUACCAUCCGGUGUCCACUGCCGCUGCAUGAGGUACAACGAAGGGAUCAUCGUCGGCUUCCGUGACUCGGUAUCUAAACGGAUGAGGUACAAUGUCAAGUGUUGGAAUACGAGCAUAAAUAAUCUUGUAAAGUAAGAAUAUAAUUUGUAUAACAUGUCACGACUAGCGCGUAUGGCUCGACGAAAGAAAAGGCGUUAGGUCCUUCUCCGAGAGGCUUAUCUUUGUUAACGAAGAAUAAGAUAUACAAACGGUUAAAGACUACCAGCGCUCGACACUCAAUUCAACCGUUCAAUUGGUCAGUUUUCCGGCAACUCUCACUCGGGAUAGUCGUCUGAAUAAUAAAUAAAAUUUAUAUGUUCUACUUGAACUUCUGUGAUUAAAUACAACACCUGAGACCCGUAUCCAAUGUCAAGAUUAAAAAUAGUCGAAUGCGAGAAAAUAAUCAAGAAUUUACAACGUGCCGAGCCAACCUUAGAAAGAAAGAAAGGAAAUUGAACAGCCUUGACUUCGUCUCAUGCGAUAUUCUUCAAUGAAUGAAAUAUAGGAACGCACAUGCUCGAAGAUAAGGAAAAAUGGGUCUGAUAAAAAAUAUUCCCCUGAUCGAUUACUGCAAUUGACCAGAAUAAAGUUUCAUCGCCGCGGAGUAGAGAAUCCCGCAGUAGUUUAAAGAGGCCCGAAGACUCUGCGCCAACAUAUAAACUGACUAUAAAUACCCUUCUGUACUUUGGUGCAGAAUUUUUUAUAAAGAUUUGAAUUCCCCUGCAAACAUAACAGAACGCCGCCCGAAUACCGAUAUGUUGACGAGUUUGCGGUUUAACGGAUAUAAUAUAAGCUACUAUUAUUAGACGAUACGUUCGUUCAUGCCUACGUGUGGAUUGGAAAUGUUAAAUAAAAUAUCUGAUUCAUCUGGUCCAAGUAAUUCGGAGCAAAGCAUUCGCGUUUUGUCGAGGUUAGAAACCGCUUUGUCGAGUAAAACGAUUUGCUUAUUGACCUAAACUUCUGCACGGAUUAGAUUGGAUUUCACGUUCGAUGAGUCAUACGUAACAAACGUCUAAACUCUAAGACAAUAAACAAUGUGAGCGUCUGAAGGCGAGAGUCUCGACGAGAAUACGAAUCAAAAGGCAAUUUAUUGACUCAUUUAUAGUAUCUCGGUAUUAACGGGAAUUAUUAUGUCAGUAUUAACUGCGAAGCCGGACGUCGACCUUGAUAAUAAAGAUGAGCUGUGAAACCAAUGACUAAUGAACUUACCUCAACACAGACAUUGCACGAAAGCGAAAUUUCACGUCACGCCAAUAAUUACCUCU
This is a long non-coding RNA of Neodiprion fabricii, 1646 nucleotides long. RefSeq lists it as uncharacterized. NCBI's taxonomy places the organism in Eukaryota, Metazoa, Arthropoda, Insecta, Hymenoptera, Diprionidae. The record is from RefSeq and is a predicted model, not a curated record. The transcript is spliced from 4 exons.